CAAUAGCGUAUAUUAAAGUUGUUGCGGUAAAAAAGCUCGUAGUUGGAUUUCUACCGAAGAUAGCCGGUCGGGUCUUCGACCUUGUAUCUGGUUUUGUCUUUGGUAUCCUCAUAGGGAACGUUUAUGCGCUUUAUUGCGUGGUGCGGUAUCUAUGACUUUUACUUUGAGGAAAUUAGAGUGUUCACGGCAGGCAAACGCCUUGAAUAUAUUAGCAUGGAAUAAUAACAUAGGAUCUUCGUCCUAUUUUGUUGGUUUCUAGGGCUAAGAUAAUGAUUAAUAGGGAUAAUUGGGGGCAUCUGUAUCAACGCGUCAGAGGUGGAAUUCUUGGAUUGCGUUGCGACAAACUACUGCGAAAGCAUUUGCCAAGGAUGUUUUCAUUGA
This 381-nucleotide ribosomal RNA is filed under the name uncultured eukaryote. RNAcentral's name for it is "partial 18S ribosomal RNA". It matches the Rfam family "Eukaryotic small subunit ribosomal RNA", at positions 592 to 976 of the family's 1831-position model. The record is from RNAcentral.